CUGUGUGAGAGGAGGCAUGUGCAGGGCACACAUGCAUGCUAGGUGGGCGUGCAUACAUCACCUUGGGUUUCACGCUACUCAAAAGUCUGAGCUUUUGUUUUUGCUCUUCAAACUGACGUCUUUUCCUUUCUUCCUCUAAGAGUUUUUGUUGCUCUUCAGCAAACUGCUUCUGCAUGUCUGGAGUGUAUUGUGGGCCUGGAGGACGCAUGCCCAGAAAUGGUGGCUGCCCCAGGAAAGGCAUGCCUGCUGCUGGCAUUGGUCCCAUUGGUAUUCCUGCCUAGAAGAAACAACAGGCAACAGAUUAAAUAAUAUAUGGGUUUUCUUUUUAAUUAUUAACAAACUUUGCAAAAGUUAUUUCAUAGCAUUUUUACUAGUAAGAUAUAUAAUACAUUCUUAUUAAAUUAAAUACUAAUUUAAUUUAGUAUUAAAGAUUAAAGCAACAU
Molecule: long non-coding RNA, 443 nt
Filed under: Cricetulus griseus (Chinese hamster)
Lineage: Eukaryota; Metazoa; Chordata; Mammalia; Rodentia; Cricetidae
Description: lncRNA (ENSCGRG00000026374.1)
Source: RNAcentral